CGGACGGGUGAGUAAGAGGGAGGAUCUGCCCUCAGGAGGGGGAUAACGGUUGGAAGGGGACGGUAAUACCCCAUAUGCCGAGAGGUGAAAGGAAUUUCGCCUGAGGAUGAGCUCGCGUCUGAUUAGCUAGUUGGUGGGGAAAAGGGCUACCAAGGCGACGAUCAGUAGCUGGUCUGAGAGGAUGAUCAGCCACACUGGGACUGAGACACGGCCCAGACUCCCACGGGAGGCAGCAGUGGGGAAUUUUCCGCAAUGGGCGAAAGCCUGACGGAGCAACGCCGCGUGAGGGAUGAAGGCCUCUGGGCUGUAAACCUCUUUUCUCAAGGAAGAAGACCUGACGGUACUUGAGGAAUAAGCCACGGCUAAUUCCGUGCCAGCAGCCGCGGUAAUACGGGAUUGGUUUGCGUUAUCCGGAAUUAUUGGGCGUAAAGCGUCCGCAGGCGGCCUCGUAAGUCUGUCGUUAAAGCGUGGAGCUUAACUCCAUUUCAGCGAUGGAAACUGCGAGGCUUGAGUGUGGUUGGGGCAGAGGGAAUUCCCGGGUGUAGCGGUGAAAUGCGUAGAUAUCGGGAAGAACACCAGUGGCGAAAGGCGCUCUGCUGGGCCAUAACUGACGCUCAUGGACGAAAGCCAGGGGAGCGAAAGGGAUUAGAUACCCCUGUAGUC
Molecule: ribosomal RNA, 663 nt
Filed under: uncultured cyanobacterium
Lineage: Bacteria; Bacillati; Cyanobacteriota
Description: bacterial SSU rRNA
Rfam family: Bacterial small subunit ribosomal RNA
Source: RNAcentral